RNAcentral lists this ribosomal RNA (922 nucleotides) under uncultured bacterium. RNAcentral describes it as "bacterial SSU rRNA". It matches the Rfam family "Bacterial small subunit ribosomal RNA", at positions 1 to 916 of the family's 1533-position model. RNAcentral also lists the same sequence under 1 other name. The record is from RNAcentral.
GGAUCCAGACUUUGAUUAUGGCUCAGGAUGAACGCUAGCUACAGGCUUAACACAUGCAAGUCGAGGGGCAGCGGGAUUGAAGCUUGCUUCAAUUGCCGGCGACCGGCGCACGGGUGAGUAACGCGUAUCCAACCUUCCGUACACUCAGGGAUAGCCUUUCGAAAGAAAGAUUAAUACCUGAUGGUAUGAUGAGAUUGCAUGAUAGCAUCAUUAAAGAUUUAUCGGUGUACGAUGGGGAUGCGUUCCAUUAGGUAGUAGGCGGGGUAACGGCCCACCUAGCCGACGAUGGAUAGGGGUUCUGAGAGGAAGGUCCCCCACAUUGGAACUGAGACACGGUCCAAACUCCUACGGGAGGCAGCAGUGAGGAAUAUUGGUCAAUGGACGAGAGUCUGAACCAGCCAAGUAGCGUGAAGGAUGAAGGUCCUACGGAUUGUAAACUUCUUUUAUAAGGGAAUAAACCCUUCCACGUGUGGGAGCUUGUAUGUACCUUAUGAAUAAGCAUCGGCUAACUCCGUGCCAGCAGCCGCGGUAAUACGGAGGAUGCGAGCGUUAUCCGGAUUUAUUGGGUUUAAAGGGAGCGCAGACGGGUCGUUAAGUCAGCUGUGAAAGUUUGGGGCUCAACCUUAAAAUUGCAGUUGAUACUGGCGUCCUUGAGUGCGGUUGAGGUGUGCGGAAUUCGUGGUGUAGCGGUGAAAUGCUUAGAUAUCACGAAGAACUCCGAUUGCGAAGGCAGCACACUAAGCCGUAACUGACGUUCAUGCUCGAAAGUGUGGGUAUCAAACAGGAUUAGAUACCCUGGUAGUCCACACGGUAAACGAUGGAUACUCGCUGUUGGCGAUAUACUGUCAGCGGCUUAGCGAAAGCGUUAAGUAUCCCACCUGGGGAGUACGCCGGCAACGGUGCAACUCAAAGGAAUUGACGG